AACCAGUACCCUCAAGUGGUCAGGAUGAUUAUUGGGCCUAAAGCAUCCGUAGCUCGUUUUGUAAGUUUUCGGUUAAAUCCAUACGCUUAACGUAUGGGCUGCCGGGAAUACUGCAUAACUAGGAAGUGGGAGAGGUAGACGGUACUCGGUAGGAAGGGUAAAGUACCUUUGAUCUAUUGAUGACCACCUGUGGCGAAGGCGGUCUACCAGAACACGUUCGACGGUGAGGGAUGAAAGCUGGGGGAGCAAACCGGAUUGAACGACCUAGUC
Molecule: ribosomal RNA, 270 nt
Filed under: uncultured bacterium
Lineage: Bacteria
Description: partial 16S ribosomal RNA
Rfam family: Archaeal small subunit ribosomal RNA
Source: RNAcentral